AGGGUAUACCCAGCCCUCUUCUGUUCCUUCUCUUCUUCACUCCUUAACCUUCUUAUACCUGAAAUCCAUGCAUAUAUUGUUGCUCAUAUGCUGCCUUUUCUUGUGCCUAGGAACAUCUGCCCAACAGCUAGAUUCCUCCUUCAGCACAAAUGGCACAUUGGAAAUAUUUGAGGUUGAUUUCAGGGACCCUUCUCUGGACUUGAAACACAGAGGAGUCCUUUCUGCCUU
This 228-nucleotide long non-coding RNA is filed under the name Homo sapiens (human). Its description in RNAcentral is "non-protein coding lnc-NDUFB8-5:2". The record is from RNAcentral. Lineage: Eukaryota; Metazoa; Chordata; Mammalia; Primates; Hominidae.